UAGAUCUUAUACUUUAUUUUUUGGUGCAUCUGUAGCAGAACUUUAUAUUUUAAUCUAAAAGAAGAAAUGGAAUAGCAGUUUCUCAUUUUAAUUAUCCUAUAGUUUAAAGUGUAUUACUUUACUAUCUUAUGAUUUUUUUUUUUCUGUGAGCCCUUAUUAAUUUCUCUGUAAAAGUAUAUAGAAAAAACUUUAGAUACCUUCCUGCUUUUUAUCAAAUUUUCAUUAAUAUUCUAUUGUUUUUAACUUUAUCACUUAUUUACUGAUAAAGUAAAUGGAGAGGGACACGGCCACAAAAUACUAAAGUGACAUAUUUUAAACUAAAUGAUACUAAAUAAAAAGUGCUAAACCAUCGGAGAAUAUUCGAAGCUUUUUCAAAAAAAAAAGACAAUCACAUUUUUAACCUAAAAAGGUAAAAUAAAAUAAAAAACAAUGGGAGUAAGGAUUUAAGGGACGUGACAUCAAGUCAUGCCGGAAACUUAUUGGCACUGUACGGCUCGAUGCAUGCAGAAUCAUGUCGAUGUGUGCCGAUCACAAAAAAUAUAAAUGUGCUGACACAUAACGGUAUGAACUAUUUAUUUUUUUUAGAAAUAAAAUAUUCUAGCUAAUUGUAUAUUAUGUAUUUUUAUCAAAUAUUUUAAACUUUAUUAAAAAAUAGACGGUUUUGAGCUAAUGUCAUCGGCACGAAUACUGUAUCGUGCUGAUAUUUUACUGGCACGAAACGACACGACGGAUCCGAUCCGUGUUGAUGUACACUUUAAAUUCUUACACAGUAGCACAAAAUUUUAACAGU
RNAcentral lists this long non-coding RNA (790 nucleotides) under Ananas comosus (pineapple). RNAcentral describes it as "long non-coding RNA (ACOM_LNC017388)". Lineage: Eukaryota; Viridiplantae; Streptophyta; Magnoliopsida; Poales; Bromeliaceae. The record is from RNAcentral.